GAUGAAGAACGUAGCGAAAUGCGAUAAGUAAUGUGAAUUGCAGAAUUCAGUGAAUCAUCGAAUCUUUGAACGCACAUUGCGCCCGCCAGUAUUCUGGCGGGCAUGCCUGUUCGAGCGUCAUUUCAACCAUCAAGCCCUGCUUGCGUUGGGGUCCUGCGGCUGCCCGCAGGCCCUGAAAACCAGUGGCGGGCUCGCUAGUCACACCGAGCGCAGUAAUACAUCUCGCUUUGGGCGUGCGGCGGGUUCUUGCCGUUAAACACCCCCUUUUUACCAAGGUUGACCUCGGAUCAGGUAGGAAUACCCGCUGAACUUAAGCAUGUCAAUAAGCGGAGGA
Molecule: unclassified non-coding RNA, 334 nt
Filed under: soil metagenome
Description: partial contains 5.8S ribosomal RNA, internal transcribed spacer 2, and large subunit ribosomal RNA
Rfam family: 5.8S ribosomal RNA (bases 1-120)
Source: RNAcentral